GUCAAGAAACCUCAAUUCAAAUCCUGCCAUAAACACUUGCCAGCUGUGUGAUAAUGGCUUUGGCUAUAAUAUCUCUAGGAGAAGUUACAGGAGCCAUUUGUAUGGGAGCUGCUUUGAAGAAAGAAGACUGAGGAUAAUGGGCAGACAACUUCUUCCCAAGACUGGGGCUCAAAGUCCUAGUCUAUCUCCACUGGGGUUCAAGAGGGAAUGAUAGACAAGCUACUGCAGAAUGUAAUUAGCCAAGACAACAACCCUUCCUUGCUACCACCAUCUCAUAGUGACCAACAGAACUCUUCCUACAUCUUCCGGGUGCUCUUUCCAUGCAGUAGAGAACUGUGGCAACAAUGUUCCAGGGAGGUUGGGCAGCCUGGAGGGGUGUAUGGGGGAACAGGCAGGGAAGCUGCAGUUAGUUGAUGUCAAUAGUCCUGACCAUCUUCCCGACCGAGAGGCUUCCUGGAGAGAGCGGAUUAAAAAGACAAAUGACUGAGCUCUUAAGAUUGAUGCACGUUUGAUGUUGGCCCCUUCUUCUCUACCUACAGUCGGAGGUAUUUUGGGUAUUUUUAACCCCAGAGGAAGUCUGGUGAAGUCUGUGGAAUCCUUCUCCAAAUAAUACAGUUUUAAAUGUACAGAAUAAAAUAUUGAAAGAAACCA
This 651-nucleotide long non-coding RNA is filed under the name Monodelphis domestica (gray short-tailed opossum). RNAcentral describes it as "lncRNA (ENSMODG00000037416.1)". The record is from RNAcentral. Lineage: Eukaryota; Metazoa; Chordata; Mammalia; Didelphimorphia; Didelphidae.